UGUGUGUGUGUGUGUGUGUGUGUGUAUGUGUGUGUAAUACACACACACACACACACACACACACAGCCAAACC
RNAcentral lists this microRNA precursor (73 nucleotides) under Podarcis lilfordi (Lilford's wall lizard). Lineage: Eukaryota; Metazoa; Chordata; Lepidosauria; Squamata; Lacertidae. The record is from RNAcentral.